AGAGUUUGAUCAUGGCUCAGGAUGAACGCUGGCGGUAUGCCUAACACAUGCCAAGUCGUACGAGAGUUUUUAACUCUAGUGGCGGACGGGUGAGUAACACGUAAGAAUUUACCUUCAGGAGGGGGAUAACAAUUGGAAACAAAUGCUAAUACCCCAUAUGCUUUCGAGUGAAAUGGAUUUAUAUUUAUCCGCCUAAAGAGAAGCUUGCGUCUGAUUAGCUUGUUGGUAAGGUAAAAGCUUACCAAGGCGACGAUCAGUAUCUGGUUUGAGAGGACGAUCAGACACACUGGAACUNACACNCNGUCCAGACUCCUACGGGAGGCAGCAGUGGGGAAUUUUCCGCAAUGGGCGAAAGCCUGACGGAGCAAUACCGCGUGAGGGAAGACUGCCUAUGGGUUGUAAACCUCUUUUUUCAGGGAGGAACAAAA
This 428-nucleotide ribosomal RNA is filed under the name uncultured bacterium. RNAcentral describes it as "bacterial SSU rRNA". It matches the Rfam family "Bacterial small subunit ribosomal RNA", at positions 8 to 454 of the family's 1533-position model. The record is from RNAcentral.